GGCUCAGAUUGAACGCUGGCGGCAUGCCUUACACAUGCAAGUCGAACGGCAGCACGGGUGCUUGCACCUGGUGGCGAGUGGCGAACGGGUGAGUAAUACAUCGGAACAUGUCCUGUAGUGGGGGAUAGCCCGGCGAAAGCCGGAUUAAUACCGCAUACGAUCCANGGAUGAAAGCGGGGGACCUUCGGGCCUCGCGCUAUAGGGUUGGCCGAUGGCUGAUUAGCUAGUUGGUGGGGUAAAGGCCUACCAAGGCGACGAUCAGUAGCUGGUCUGAGAGGACGACCAGCCACACUGGGACUGAGACACGGCCCAGACUCCUACGGGAGGCAGCAGUGGGGAAUUUUGGACAAUGGGCGAAAGCCUGAUCCAGCAAUGCCGCGUGUGUGAAGAAGGCCUUCGGGUUGUAAAGCACUUUUGUCCGGAAAGAAAUCCUUGGCUCUAAUACAGUCGGGGGAUGACGGUACCGAAGA
RNAcentral lists this ribosomal RNA (470 nucleotides) under Burkholderia cenocepacia. RNAcentral's name for it is "bacterial SSU rRNA". It matches the Rfam family "Bacterial small subunit ribosomal RNA", at positions 21 to 484 of the family's 1533-position model. Lineage: Bacteria; Pseudomonadati; Pseudomonadota; Betaproteobacteria; Burkholderiales; Burkholderiaceae. The record is from RNAcentral.